AUGGUUCGGUGGUCGGAGAUUUGUAAGCUGCGUGACCAGGGCGGUCUCGGGAUCAUGUCCUCCAAACGCAUGAACAUUGCCCUCGUGAAUAGGUGGCUGUGGCGGAUUACGCACGGAGAGGGCGGCCUGUGGCUUCGCCUCAUUCAGCAGAAAUACCUCCUUGGCCAGCCUCUCGCCUUCUGCCAGCGGUCUGGAGGCUUCCAGUUCUGGCAAUCCAUCAUUCAGCUCCUCCCAGUCCUCCGCAUCGGGACCUCGAUCGUGGUUGGAUCUGGCACCGCCAUGCUGUUCUGGUUCGAUAGAUGGGCCGGGGACAUGCCCCUUGCGGCUCGCUUUCCUGACCUGUUCUCCAUCGCGGUUGAUCCGCGGAUUUCUGUCGCGAUGACCCUUAUUGACUUA
RNAcentral lists this ribosomal RNA (396 nucleotides) under Triticum aestivum (bread wheat). RNAcentral describes it as "partial small subunit ribosomal RNA". Lineage: Eukaryota; Viridiplantae; Streptophyta; Magnoliopsida; Poales; Poaceae. The record is from RNAcentral.